UACAGAGGGUGCAAGCGUUAAUCGGAAUUACUGGGCGUAAAGGGCGCGUAGGUGGUUGCGUAAGUGAGAUGUGAAAUCCCCGGGCUUAACCUGGGAACUGCAUCUUAUACUGCGUAGCUGGAGUACAUGAGAGGGUAGUGGAAUUUCCGGUGUAGCGGUGAAAUGCGUAGAUAUCGGAAGGAACACCAGUGGCGAAGGCGGCUACCUGGCAUGAUACUGACACUGAGGCGCGAGAGCGUGGGGAGCAAACAGG
This 253-nucleotide ribosomal RNA is filed under the name uncultured bacterium. RNAcentral describes it as "partial 16S ribosomal RNA". It matches the Rfam family "Bacterial small subunit ribosomal RNA", at positions 524 to 776 of the family's 1533-position model. The record is from RNAcentral.